CUUAAGCAUAUCAAUAAGCGGAGGAAAAGAAACUAACAAGGAUUCCCCUAGUAACUGCGAGUGAAGCGGGAAGAGCUCAAAUUUAAAAUCUGGCAGCUUUGGCUGUCCGAAUUGUAAUCUGGAGAAGUGCUUUCUGCUCUGGACCGUGUACAAGUCUCCUGGAAUGGAGCGUCAUAGAGGGUGAGAAUCCCGUCUUUGACACGGACUACCAGUGCUUUGUGAUGUGCUUUCAAAGAGUCGAGUUGUUUGGGAAUGCAGCUCAAAAUGGGUGGUAAAUUCCAUCUAAAGCUAAAUAUUGGCGAGAGACCGAUAGCGAACAAGUACCGUGAGGGAAAGAUGAAAAGCACUUUGGAAAGAGAGUUAAACAGUACGUGAAAUUGCUGAAAGGGAAACGCUUGAAGUCAGUCGCGUUGUUCAGAACUCAGCCUGGCUUUGGCUUGGUGCACUUUCUGAAUAACGGGCCAGCAUCAAUUUCGACUGUUGGAUAAAGGCCAGUGAAAUGUGGCUCCUUUGGGAGUGUUAUAGUCUCUGGUUGCAUACAAUGGUUGAGAUUGAGGAACUCAGCAUGCCUUUAUGGUCGGGGUUCGCCCACGUUCAUGCUUAGGAUGCUGGCGUAAUGGCUUUAAACGACCCGUCUUGAAACACGGACCAAGGAGUCUAACAUGCCUGCGAGUGUUUGGGUGGAAAACCCGAGCGCACAAUGAAAGUGAAAGUUGGGAUCUCUGUCGUGGAGAGCACCGACGCCCGGACCAGACCUUCUGUGACGGAUCCGCGGUAGAGCCUGUAUGUUGGGACCCGAAAGAUGGUGAACUAUGCCUGAAUAGGGUGAAGCCAGAGGAAACUCUGGUGGAGGCUCGUAGCGAUUCUGACGUGCAAAUCGAUCGUCAAAUUUGGGUAUAGGGGCGAAAGACUAAUCGAACCCUCUUGCCC
RNAcentral lists this ribosomal RNA (930 nucleotides) under Physisporinus centroamericanus. Its description in RNAcentral is "Physisporinus sp. CGW-2022b partial large subunit ribosomal RNA". It matches the Rfam family "Eukaryotic large subunit ribosomal RNA", at positions 33 to 950 of the family's 3401-position model. Lineage: Eukaryota; Fungi; Basidiomycota; Agaricomycetes; Polyporales; Meripilaceae. The record is from RNAcentral.